CCUACGGGGGGCAGCAGUGAGGAAUAUUGGUCAAUGGACGAGAGUCUGAACCAGCCAAGUAGCGUGAAGGAUGACUGCCCUAUGGGUUGUAAACUUCUUUUAUAUGGGAAUAAAAUGUUCCACGUGUGGGCUUUUGUAUGUACCUUAUGAAUAAGGAUCGGCUAACUCCGUGCCAGCAGCCGCGGUAAUACGGAGGGUCCGAGCGUUAUCCGGAUUUAUUGGGUUUAAAGGGAGCGUAGGUGGAGUGUUAAGUCAGUUGUGAAAGUUUGCGGCUCAACCGGAAAAUUGCAGUUGAAACUGGCAGUCUUGAGUACAGUAGAGGUGGGCAGAAUUCGGGGUGUAGCGGUGAAAUGCUUAGAUAUCUCGAAGAACACCGAUUGCGAAGGCAGCUCACUGGACUGCAACUGACACUGAGGUGCGAAAGUGUGGGUAUCAAACAGGAUUAGAUACCCCAGUAGUC
RNAcentral lists this ribosomal RNA (460 nucleotides) under uncultured bacterium. RNAcentral's name for it is "partial 16S ribosomal RNA". It matches the Rfam family "Bacterial small subunit ribosomal RNA", at positions 338 to 795 of the family's 1533-position model. The record is from RNAcentral.